This 468-nucleotide ribosomal RNA is filed under the name uncultured bacterium. RNAcentral's name for it is "partial 16S ribosomal RNA". It matches the Rfam family "Bacterial small subunit ribosomal RNA", at positions 28 to 507 of the family's 1533-position model. The record is from RNAcentral.
GACGAACGCUGGCGGCGUGCUUAACACAUGCAAGUCGAACGGAAAGGCCCUGCUUUUGUGGGGUGCUCGAGUGGCGAACGGGUGAGUAACACGUGAGUAACCUGCCCUUGACUUUGGGAUAACUUCAGGAAACUGGGGCUAAUACCGGAUAGGAGCUCCCGCUGCAUGGUGGGGGUUGGAAAGUUUCGGCGGUUGGGGAUGGGCUCGCGGCUUAUCAGCUUGUUGGUGGGGUAGUGGCUUACCAAGGCUUUGACGGGUAGCCGGCCUGAGAGGGUGACCGGCCACAUUGGGACUGAGAUACGGCCCAGACUCCUACGGGAGGCAGCAGUGGGGAAUAUUGCACAAUGGGCGGAAGCCUGAUGCAGCAACGCCGCGUGCGGGAUGACGGCCUUCGGGUUGUAAACCGCUUUCGCCUGUGACGAAGCGUGAGUGACGGUAAUGGGUAAAGAAGCACCGGCUAACUACGUG